Molecule: ribosomal RNA, 319 nt
Filed under: uncultured eukaryote
Lineage: Eukaryota
Description: partial 18S ribosomal RNA
Rfam family: Eukaryotic small subunit ribosomal RNA
Source: RNAcentral
CCCUUAGAUGUUCUGGGCAGCACGCGCGCUACAAUGGUCUUCGCAAACGGAUGCAUUCUCGAAGGAGAAUGCCAAUCUUGGAAUCUAUGCCUUGGUCGGGACAGUUGCUUGCAAUUUUUCGACUCGAACCAGGAAUUCCUUGUAAUCGUGAUUCAUCACAUCACGAUGAAUACGUCCCUGCCCUUUGUACACACCGCCCGUCGAUCCUACCGAUCGAAGAGUUAGGUGAAUUGUUUUGAUCGAUAAGAUUUGACUAUGGUCAACUCUCGUUGUGAAAUUCUGUGAAUCUGACUGUUUAGAGGAAGGAAAAGUCGUAACA